Molecule: transfer RNA, 70 nt
Filed under: Loxodonta africana (African savanna elephant)
Lineage: Eukaryota; Metazoa; Chordata; Mammalia; Proboscidea; Elephantidae
Rfam family: tRNA
About the family: Transfer RNA (tRNA) molecules are approximately 80 nucleotides in length.
Source: Rfam by way of RNAcentral
UCCUCUAUAUCUACUGUUAAGAUUCCUGGUUUUCACCCAGGUGGCCCGGGUUCGACUCCCAGUGUGGGAA